GUCCCUGUAGCGUAAUGGAUAGCGCGUUGGACUUCUAAUCCAAAGGUGGUGGGUUCGAAUCCCACCUUGGAUC
This is a non-coding RNA of Trichonephila clavipes, 73 nucleotides long. Lineage: Eukaryota; Metazoa; Arthropoda; Arachnida; Araneae; Nephilidae. The record is from the annotation of a GenBank genome assembly.